RNAcentral lists this ribosomal RNA (459 nucleotides) under uncultured bacterium. Its description in RNAcentral is "bacterial SSU rRNA". It matches the Rfam family "Bacterial small subunit ribosomal RNA", at positions 29 to 531 of the family's 1533-position model. The record is from RNAcentral.
AACGAACGCUGGCGGCAUGCCUAACACAUGCAAGUCGAACGAAGCCUUCGGGCUUAGUGGCGCACGGGUGCGUAACACGUGGGAAUCUGCCCUUCGGUUCGGAAUAACAGUUAGAAAUGACUGCUAAUACCGGAUGAUGACGUAAGUCCAAAGAUUUAUCGCCGAAGGAUGAGCCCGCGUAGGAUUAGGUAGUUGGUAGGGUAAUGGCCUACCAAGCCGACGAUCCUUAGCUGGUCUGAGAGGAUGAUCAGCCACACUGGGACUGAGACACGGCCCAGACUCCUACGGGAGGCAGCAGUGGGGAAUAUUGGACAAUGGGCGAAAGCCUGAUCCAGCAAUGCCGCGUGAGUGAUGAAGGCCUUAGGGUUGUAAAGCUCUUUUACCAGGGAUGAUAAUGACAGUACCUGGAGAAUAAGCUCCGGCUAACUCCGUGCCAGCAGCCGCGGUAAUGUCUGUACU